Molecule: ribosomal RNA, 425 nt
Filed under: Rhodovulum sulfidophilum
Lineage: Bacteria; Pseudomonadati; Pseudomonadota; Alphaproteobacteria; Rhodobacterales; Paracoccaceae
Description: bacterial SSU rRNA
Rfam family: Bacterial small subunit ribosomal RNA
Source: RNAcentral
CAGAACGAACGCUGGCGGCAGGCCUAACACAUGCAAGUCGAGCGAACCCUUCGGGGUUAGCGGCGGACGGGUGAGUAACGCGUGGGAACGUGCCCUUCUCUGCGGAAUAGGCUCGGGAAACUGGGUUUAAUACCGCAUACGCCCUUCGGGGGAAAGAUUUAUCGGAGAAGGAUCGGCCCGCGUCUGAUUAGGUAGUUGGUGGGGUAAUGGCCUACCAAGCCUACGAUCAGUAGCUGGUUUGAGAGGAUGAUCAGCCACACUGGGACUGAGACACGGCCCAGACUCCUACGGGAGGCAGCAGUGAGGAAUCUUGGACAAUGGGGGAAACCCUGAUCCAGCCAUGCCGCGUGAGCGAUGAAGGCCUUAGGGUUGUAAAGCUCUUUCAGUCGUAAAGAUAAGACGGACGCAGAAGAAGCCGGAUACCG